CUGCAGUAGGGAAUCUUCCACAAUGGGCGAAAGCCUGAUGGAGCAACGCCGCGUGUGUGAUGAAGGCUUUCGGGUCGUAAAGCACUGUUGUAUGGGAAGAAAAGUUAAGGUAGGGAAUGACCUUAGCCUGACGGUACCAUACCAGAAAGGGACGGCUAAAUACGUGCCAGCAGCCGCGGUAAUACGUAUGUCCCGAGCGUUAUCCGGAUUUAUUGGGCGUAAAGCGAGCGCAGACGGUUGGUUAAGUCUGAUGUGAAAGCCCGGAGCUCAACUCCGGAAAGGCAUUGGAAACUGGUUAACUUGAGUGCAGUAGAGGUAAGUGGAACUCCAUGUGUAGCGGUGGAAUGCGUAGAUAUAUGGAAGAACACCAGCGGCGAAGGCGGCUUACUGGACUGUAACUGACGUUGAGGCUCGAAAGUGUGGGUAGCAAACAGGAUUAGAUACCCUGGUAGUCCACACCGUAAACGAUGAACACUAGGUGUUAGGAGGUUUCCGCCUCUUAGUGCCGAAGCUAACGCAUUAAGUGUUCCGCCUGGGGAGUACGACCGCAAGGUUGAAACUCAAAGGAAUUGACGGGGACCCGCACAAGCGGUGGAGCAUGUGGUUUAAUUCGAAGCAACGCGAAGAACCUUACCAGGUCUUGACAUCCUUUGAAGCUUUUAGAAAUAGAAGUGUUCUCUUCGGAGACAAAGUGACAGGUGGUGCAUGGUCGUCGUCAGCUCGUGUCGUGAGAUGUUGGGUUAAGUCCCGCAACGAGCGCAACCCUUAUUGUUAGUUGCCAGCAUUCAGAUGGGCACUCUAGCGAGACUGCCGGUGACAAACCGGAGGAAGGCGGGGACGACGUCAGAUCAUCAUGCCCCUUAUGACCUGGGCUACACACGUGCUACAAUGGCGUAUACAACGAGUUGCCAACCUGCGAAGGUGAGCUAAUCUCUUAAAGUACGUCUCAGUUCGGACUGCAGUCUGCAACUCGACUGCACGAAGUCGGAAUCGCUAGUAAUCGCGGAUCAGCACGCCGCGGUGAAUACGUUCCCGGGUCUUGUACACACCGCCCGUCACACCAUGGAAGUUUGUAAUGCCCAAAGCCGGUGGCCUAACCGUAAGGAGGGAACCGUCUAAGGC
This 1122-nucleotide ribosomal RNA is filed under the name Leuconostoc carnosum. RNAcentral's name for it is "bacterial SSU rRNA". It matches the Rfam family "Bacterial small subunit ribosomal RNA", at positions 349 to 1463 of the family's 1533-position model. The record is from RNAcentral. Lineage: Bacteria; Bacillati; Bacillota; Bacilli; Lactobacillales; Lactobacillaceae.